GACGAACGCUGGCGGCGUGCUUAACACAUGCAAGUCGAACGGAAAGUCCCUGCUUUUUUGGGGUGCUCGAGUUGCGACCGGGUGAGUAACACGUGAGUUACCUUCCCUUGACUUUGGGAUAACUUCAGGAAGCUGGGGCUAAUACCGGAUAGGAGCUCCUGCUUCAUGGUGGGGUUUGGAAAGUUUCGGCGGUUGGGGAUGUACUCGCGGCGUAUCAGCUUGUUGGUGGGGUAGUGGCUUACCAUGGCUUUUACGGGUAGCCGGCCUGCGGGGGUGACCGGCCACAGUGGGACUGAGAUACGGCACAGACUCCUACGGGAGGCAGCAGUGGGGAAUAUUGCACAAUGGGCGGAAGCCUGACGCAGCAACGCCGCGUGCGGGAUGACGGCAUUCGGGUUGUAAACCGCUUUCGCCUGUGACGAAGCGUGAGUGACGGUAAUGGGUAAAGAAGCACCGGCUAACUACGUG
Molecule: ribosomal RNA, 468 nt
Filed under: uncultured bacterium
Lineage: Bacteria
Description: partial 16S ribosomal RNA
Rfam family: Bacterial small subunit ribosomal RNA
Source: RNAcentral